UCAAACUGACACAAGAAGUACCAGAGAAACAAAAGAAAAAACAAUUAUGCACAAAGAAAAAAAAAACUAUGAAGAAACGCAAUAACCCAAUUAGGAAACACUCAAACAAACAACAAUCUCCAUAAAAUAACCCACUCUACGAAUCUCUAUCCAACAGAAAACCCAAUAGAUUUUAGUCCACCAAAUCCACCAAUAUGAGAAUAAAGAAACAACAAGCAAAA
This 221-nucleotide long non-coding RNA is filed under the name Lathyrus oleraceus (garden pea). Its description in RNAcentral is "Pisum sativum (pea) long non-coding RNA (PSAT_LNC033792)". The record is from RNAcentral. Lineage: Eukaryota; Viridiplantae; Streptophyta; Magnoliopsida; Fabales; Fabaceae.